This is a long non-coding RNA of Panicum virgatum (switchgrass), 1124 nucleotides long. RefSeq lists it as uncharacterized. The record is from RefSeq and is a predicted model, not a curated record. Lineage: Eukaryota; Viridiplantae; Streptophyta; Magnoliopsida; Poales; Poaceae. The transcript is spliced from 3 exons.
GAUGGCAAACAAAUCAGCAAUUAUACAAGUGGAUCUAAAGAAGAAGAUUCAACAACGAAGAAACUCAAUAAUGUAAAUAAAAGAAGACGUAGAGCACUGAUUGUGGAAGAUGACUCAGACAAAUAUUGUGAUGGCGAACAAAUCAACAAUGAUGCAAGUGGAUCUAAAGAAAAGAAUUCAGCAACGAUGAAAGGAAGACCUCUAAAUAAAAGAAGACAUAGAGCAAUAAUAGUGGAAGAUGACACAGACGAAGAUGGUAAAGAAAAUAACAAAAAAAAAGGCCAAGGAAUUUGGUGCUAAACCAAAUAAGAGAUUGUGUGUUCCUAAAGAUGCAGUUGUUGUCUAUGAUUUUGCCAAGAAGGAAUAUGCUGUGGAACAAGCCAUAAAGACUGCAACAAGAUUAGGGAAAAAAUUAUUUGGAAAAAGAAAGAUUAGACCAGAAGCGAAGCAACAAUCUUUUGAGGAACAAGCCAUACAUGAUCAGAAAGGAUUGUCCAAAAUAAUUGGUUGCAAAAAGGGAAAACGUGGAAUCAGAGAAAAUCAUAAAGAUCCUACAAAUGUAAAUAGUGCCAGCAAAUUAUCCAAACAGACAAAAGAAAAGGUGAGGAAGGCUACACAAAGAAGAAAAAAGGGCAGAUCAAUUGUGUUUCACACAGAAAUUAUAACCAAUCAGGAUAAUGACAAUAUCGCAGACGAUAACAAUGUUGAGGCCAACAGCAAUGUCAUGGUUGAAGUAAUUACAGAAGUCAACAGUGAUGUAGAGAAUAUACAAGUAAAAGACAUUUCCAAAAGCAUAAAUGAGAUUGGCAAUAUCCCGGCCAAUCAUGAACAAAACAACAUACCAGUGAAUGGAAAUCAAACUCCUACUCUUUAUAGAUCAUCAAGAAACAGAAGAGCACCUGCAAGAUAUAGUACUUAGGUGACCAGGUAUGGGAGAAAACUGAAAAGCUCAUGUAUCUCCGUCUCCCUACAAUAGCAAAAGUUAUUACCUCAUAUUAGUUGUAAUCAUCAUAUAUAAUUUAAUAUAGAAUUCUAUGUUUUUUGAAAAUGCUCCCACUGCAAUGUACUAUAUAUUGUAUGAAGUAACUUCCUGGAAGGAAUAUUUGAGCAUUGAACACUGUCAA